UAUAAGAUGCCUGAUUAAAGGAUAAUUUUGAUAGGAUUAAUAAUGCGGCCCCCCCUGCUCUUAUAA
Molecule: transfer RNA, 66 nt
Filed under: Crepidodera sp. BMNH 846613
Lineage: Eukaryota; Metazoa; Arthropoda; Insecta; Coleoptera; Chrysomelidae
Description: tRNA-Ile
Source: RNAcentral